RNAcentral lists this unclassified non-coding RNA (778 nucleotides) under Hevea brasiliensis (rubber tree). The record is from RNAcentral. Lineage: Eukaryota; Viridiplantae; Streptophyta; Magnoliopsida; Malpighiales; Euphorbiaceae.
GCUGCUCGCGCCUAUGAUGCAGAAGCCCGAAAGAUCCGUGGCAAGAAGGCGAAGGUAAACUUCCCUAAUGAGACACCAAUCUCGAAACCCGUCUCUCUACCAACAGCAAACCCAGUGGUGGAACCCGUGCCAAACCAGUCCUUUAAUUACAUUGACGACAGUGCUUUCCUGUCGGGGAUCCUGGAAGAGAAGGAGCAGCAGCCCAUUAAGCAAUCCAAUCUCCUGAAUCUGCACCCUGCUGUCAAGUCUUUCAUGCCAUAUGGAGGAGCGGGGAUGAGUUUCCAGUCUGAUCAGGGAAGUAACUCUUUGGACUAUUCGAACUUUGGCUGGGAACACGAGGUGAAGGCUGCUGAUAUCACCUCAGUUCUUUCUUCGACAAUGGAAUCCGAGCUCUUCCAGGUUGCUGCUCCAGCAAAGAAAAUGAAGAAUAAUGGGGUCGGUGUGGGUGCUGUGGAGAAUGUGGCUGCUGUGGACAACAAUACUCUCAAUUUCGAUGGCGAAUUUCCUGGCAUUGAUACAUUUAUGUUUGAUCAAAUCCCUUGCUUCGAAGGCAACUCAGAUGAGUCAAUUGACUUUACAUUCACCAACGAAGCGGCCCAGGAUGGUGCGAGUGCAUUCCCUGAGAUGGAGCGACUCUGGUUCGAGGACCUGGGUGGUGCCUUCUGAGCGAUAUCUGUUUCUGGUGGCAAGCUUUUGUGAAUAAAAUAAAAUGAAUUGGGAAAUAUGGAGAGUCGGAGGUGUCUGCUGUGAAUCUGUGAUGUUGUUUCGCCAGUCUUUA